GCCGUCCUUGAAAUACCACCCUUGUAGUGUUGAUGUUCUAACGUCGACCCCUAAUCGGGGUUGCGGACAGUGCCUGGUGGGUAGUUUGACUGGGGCGGUCUCCUCCCAAAGAGUAACGGAGGAGCACGAAGGUGGGCUAAUCACGGUUGGACAUCGUGAGGUUAGUGCAAUGGCAUAAGCCCGCUUGACUGCGAGAAUGACAAUUCGAGCAGGUGCGAAAGCAGGUCAUAGUGAUCCGGUGGUUCUGAAUGGAAGGGCCAUCGCUCAACGGAUAAAAGGUACUCCGGGGAUAACAGGCUGAUACCGCCCAAGAGUUCAUAUCGACGGCGGUGUUUGGCACCUCGAUGUCGGCUCAUCACAUCCUGGGGCUGAAGUCGGUCCCAAGGGUAUGGCUGUUCGCCAUUUAAAGUGGUACGCGAGCUGGGUUUAGAACGUCGUGAGACAGUUCGGUCCCUAUCUGCCGUGGGCGUUGGAAGAUUGAAGGGGGCUGCUCCUAGUACGAGAGGACCGGAGUGGACGAACCUCUGGUGUUCGGGUUGUGUCGCCAGACGCAUUGCCCGGUAGCUAAGUUCGGAAUCGAUAACCGCUGAAAGCAUCUAAGCGGGAAGCGAGCCCUGAGAUGAGUCUUCCCUGAUACUUUAAGUAUCCUAAAGGGUUGUCGGAGACUACGACGUUGAUAGGUCAGGUGUGUAAGUGCUGUGAGGCAUUGAGCUAACUGAUACUAAUUGCCCGUGAGGCUUAACCAUACAACACCCAAGGGGUUU
This 764-nucleotide ribosomal RNA is filed under the name Vibrio parahaemolyticus. Its description in RNAcentral is "partial 23S ribosomal RNA". It matches the Rfam family "Bacterial large subunit ribosomal RNA", at positions 2185 to 2925 of the family's 2925-position model. The record is from RNAcentral. Lineage: Bacteria; Pseudomonadati; Pseudomonadota; Gammaproteobacteria; Vibrionales; Vibrionaceae.